GGCGGCGUGCCUAACACAUGCAAGUCGAGCGAGGAGAUCCUUCGGGAUGAUCCUAGCGGCGGACGGGUGAGUAACACGUGGGCAACCUGCCUCAUAGAGAGGAAUAGCCUUCCGAAAGGGAGAUUAAUACCUCAUAACAUUGCAGUUUCGCACGAAACAGCAAUUAAAGGAGCAAUCCGCUAUGAGAUGGGCCCGCGGCGCAUUAGCUAGUUGGUGAGGUAACGGCUCACCAAGGCGACGAUGCGUAGCCGACCUGAGAGGGUGAUCGGCCACAUUGGGACUGAGACACGGCCCAGACUCCUACGGGAGGCAGCAGUGGGGAAUAUUGCACAAUGGGGGAAACCCUGAUGCAGCCAACGCCGCGUGAGUGAUGACGGCCUUCGGGUUGUAAAGCUCUGUCUUCAGGGACGAUAAUGACGGUACCUGAGGAGGAAGCCACGGCUAACUACGUGCCAGCAGCUGC
This 463-nucleotide ribosomal RNA is filed under the name uncultured bacterium. RNAcentral describes it as "bacterial SSU rRNA". It matches the Rfam family "Bacterial small subunit ribosomal RNA", at positions 38 to 518 of the family's 1533-position model. The record is from RNAcentral.